GACGAACGCUGGCGGCGUGCCUAAUACAUGCAAGUAGAACGCUGAAGGAGGAGCUUGCUUCUCCGGAUGAGUUGCGAACGGGUGAGUAACGCGUAGGUAACCUGCCUGGUAGCGGGGGAUAACUAUUGGAAACGAUAGCUAAUACCGCAUAACAGUAGAUGUUGCAUGACAUUUGCUUAAAAGGUGCAAUUGCAUCACUACCAGAUGGACCUGCGUUGUAUUAGCUAGUUGGUGAGGUAACGGCUCACCAAGGCGACGAUACAUAGCCGACCUGAGAGGGUGAUCGGCCACACUGGGACUGAGACACGGCCCAGACUCCUACGGGAGGCAGCAGUAGGGAAUCUUCGGCAAUGGACGGAAGUCUGACCGAGCAACGCCGCGGGAGUGAAGAAGGUUGUCGGAUCGUAAAGCUCUGUUGUAAGAGAAGAACGAGUGUGAGAGUGGAAAGUUCACACUGUGACGGUAUCUUACCAGAAAGGGACGGCUAACUACGUG
This 495-nucleotide ribosomal RNA is filed under the name uncultured bacterium. RNAcentral describes it as "partial 16S ribosomal RNA". It matches the Rfam family "Bacterial small subunit ribosomal RNA", at positions 28 to 507 of the family's 1533-position model. The record is from RNAcentral.